CAGCAGCCGCCACGGUAAUACGAAGGGUGCAAGCGUUACUCGGAAUUACUGGGCGUAAAGCGUGCGUAGGUGGUGGUUUAAGUCCGUUGUGAAAGCCCUGGGCUCAACCUGGGAAUUGCAGUGGAUACUGGGUCACUAGAGUGUGGUAGAGGAUAGUGGAAUUUCCGGUGUAGCAGUGAAAUGCGUAGAGAUCGGAAGGAACAUCUGUGGCGAAGGCGACUAUCUGGGCCAACACUGACACUGAGGCACGAAAGCGUGGGGAGCAAACAGGAUUAGAUACCCCAGUAGUCCCUGUCUCUUAUAC
RNAcentral lists this ribosomal RNA (304 nucleotides) under uncultured bacterium. RNAcentral describes it as "partial 16S ribosomal RNA". It matches the Rfam family "Bacterial small subunit ribosomal RNA", at positions 509 to 807 of the family's 1533-position model. The record is from RNAcentral.